AUUUAAAUAGUUUAAUAAAAAUAUUGAUUUGUGGUGUCAAAGAUGUAGGAUAUACUUUAAAUU
Molecule: transfer RNA, 63 nt
Filed under: Neochauliodes meridionalis
Lineage: Eukaryota; Metazoa; Arthropoda; Insecta; Megaloptera; Corydalidae
Also listed under: 2 other names
Description: tRNA-His
Source: RNAcentral